This 253-nucleotide ribosomal RNA is filed under the name uncultured bacterium. RNAcentral's name for it is "partial 16S ribosomal RNA". It matches the Rfam family "Bacterial small subunit ribosomal RNA", at positions 524 to 776 of the family's 1533-position model. The record is from RNAcentral.
UACGUAGGGGGCAAGCGUUGUCCGGAAUCACUGGGCGUAAAGCGCGCGCAGGCGGUCAUCUACGUCUGGGGUGAAAGCCCGGAGCUCAACUCCGGGAUUGCCUUGGAUACGGGAUGACCUGAGGAUCGGAGAGGCAAGGGGAAUUCCACGUGUAGCGGUGAAAUGCGUAGAGAUGUGGAGGAACACCUGUGGCGAAGGCGCCUUGCUGGCCGAUUUCUGACGCUGAGGCGCGAAAGCGUGGGGAGCAAACAGG